AACGGCGGCUAAACGGGAUGAACG
RNAcentral lists this non-coding RNA (24 nucleotides) under Arabidopsis thaliana (thale cress). The record is from RNAcentral. Lineage: Eukaryota; Viridiplantae; Streptophyta; Magnoliopsida; Brassicales; Brassicaceae.